AUUUCAGGGCUGGCAGUGGAGACAAGCAUAUCUUGCUGGAGAUCCCUGGGUGCUUGAGACCUUCCUCAGCAGCUCAAAAAUUCACAUUUUGAUGUCAAGAGGAGGUGGUCAUGGACAUGGCGAAGUACAGUGUUGGGGGCUCUUGAUGGAAGUCAUGUAAUAACCGAGAAUAACUCCAAUCUUUGAAUGUACAAAACAAAUAACUGGAAAACAUAGUGCUUGUAUGUAUAUGCAAGGUAGUUUUUGGUAGUGGUGGAAUAAAUGGAAUAAAACCAGAAGAAAUCUCUGUCAAACUAAUACUUUAGAACUGGAGAUCUCCCCUGGAAAAUGGGACAUCACAGGAAUUGUUAAAAAGAUUUCACUUGUCAUAUCUUGUAACUAGGCUAGUAAUUAUUUUGGAACCGAGUUUAGUUUUCCUGUGUUCAGAGAAGAUCCAUACCAGUGUUCCAUCCCCUACUAAAAAUGGAAUGGAAGAGGUUUUUUUAAUUUAGAAAUUUUACAUUUCAGCAAAUCAGCUGGUGGGUUUUUAUAUUAAAACUAGUAGUCAGUCUCAAAUUCUCAUCUAAAAUGAGGAAUCAAGUAUUUGUAUACAAGUAAAAGUACAUAGAUGAUUAAAUUCCUGUGUGAGAAUGAGCUGUUCAUAGGCAUAUCUGAACAACUCGUAAUUCCAGCUAAAUCAUGACAAUGGCUCUGAAAAUUUAGGUUUCUUAAUCAGUCGACUCUAUUAUGGUGCCUUGCAGUUUUUACACAGAGAAGCUUUGCCAGCUUUGUAGGGGGUUCAGAUGCUUCAGGUACUACUGAAUAGCUUAGGGUAAGCAGGAAAUCUGUUUGAUGCACUGCUAUUUACUUGGGGGGGAAAAAGUCUGAGAAGUGAUCAGUGUCAAUGGGCUGAGAAGUUCUUUACUCACACAGCUGUUAAAUGAAUGGGAGGAUGACAAUGAGGUCUUGUAAGCUGGCUGCUUGUUCUUUGCAUAAGCCUUCUGUCUCGCUUCAGUGUGGUUAACUGUAGCACACUGCUCUGUCAGUAGGGCCAAGCAAGGAAAUUGUAUUAGUGUAGCAAAUCAUAACCUUUAGAAAUAAUAUUUACAUAUUAAGUCUUAAUCAUCUGUAUGUUUGAGUAUCACCAGAGCAUAGGCUGUUAAAUGUAAAUGUACAUUUGCUGGAGUGUAUGAAAAUAUAUACAGUAUGUACG
Long non-coding RNA from Gallus gallus (chicken), 1192 nucleotides. The record is from Ensembl. Lineage: Eukaryota; Metazoa; Chordata; Aves; Galliformes; Phasianidae.